Molecule: small nucleolar RNA, 66 nt
Filed under: Takifugu rubripes (torafugu)
Lineage: Eukaryota; Metazoa; Chordata; Actinopteri; Tetraodontiformes; Tetraodontidae
Description: Small nucleolar RNA SNORD66 (ENSTRUG00000027545.1)
Rfam family: Small nucleolar RNA SNORD66
About the family: snoRNA HBII-142 is part of the C/D family of snoRNAs. It is the human orthologue of the mouse MBII-142 snoRNA and is predicted to guide 2'O-ribose methylation of small 18S rRNA at residue C1272.
Source: Rfam by way of RNAcentral
GUCCUGUUGGGGAUUUGCUCCACGUGUCUGUGCCACUGAGCGUGGUGGCCUUGAGGAACCGAGGGC